UGGGGAAUCUUGGACAAUGGGCGCAAGCCUGAUCCAGCCAUGCCGCGUGGAUGAUGAAGGCCUUAGGGUUGUAAAAUCCUUUCGCCGAGGACGAUAAUGACGGUACUCGGAGAAGAAGCUCCGGCUAACUUCGUGCCAGCAGCCGCGGUAAUACGAAGGGGGCUAGCGUUGUUCGGAAUUACUGGGCGUAAAGCGCACGUAGGCGGAUUUGUCAGUCAGGGGUGAAAUCCCGAGGCUCAACCUCGGAACUGCCUCCGAUACAGCAAGUCUCGAGUCCGGAAGAGGUGAGUGGAAUUCCUAGUGUAGAGGUGAAAUUCGUAGAUAUUAGGAAGAACACCAGUGGCGAAGGCGGCUCACUGGUCCGGUACUGACGCUGAGGUGCGAAAGCGUGGGGAGCAAACAGGAUUAGAUACCCCUGUAGUCCCUGAGCGGGCUGGCAAGGCGCAU
RNAcentral lists this ribosomal RNA (447 nucleotides) under uncultured bacterium. RNAcentral's name for it is "bacterial SSU rRNA". It matches the Rfam family "Bacterial small subunit ribosomal RNA", at positions 355 to 825 of the family's 1533-position model. The record is from RNAcentral.